Molecule: long non-coding RNA, 593 nt
Organism: Magnolia sinica
Lineage: Eukaryota; Viridiplantae; Streptophyta; Magnoliopsida; Magnoliales; Magnoliaceae
Exons: 2
Source: RefSeq, a predicted model, not a curated record
UAUAGUAAACUCUUCUAUUCUCCCUCUCUCUCUCUCUCUCUCUCUCUCUCUCUCUCUCUCAAUAUGGGAAUGGCGUAGAAUCUUCUCUCCAACCCUCCCUCAGCUCUCUCGCUAAGCUCAUAACCAUCUAAUUGUAUAACAGAGACAUGGUUUCGUGUAAGGCAUCUCCAGUCAUGGUGGCUCUUCUACUUGUGCAUAUGCUGCUUUUUUCCUCAGUGGUGGCCCCUCAGUGCAAGGCAAAGGAAGGACGCGUUCUCGUGGACAAUCCUGCUCGCGACAAGGGAACUGAUCCUGGAUGUGGCGCUGGACCAGUAAAAGCUCCAAGGCCCCCUCGUGGGACCACUCUUGAAACUCCUCCCUAGUGCCUAUCUGGCUCGAAGGAUGCCUCAAGAAUUCACCUUAAGCAAAAUGACUCGUUAAUUUCUAUUUAUACUUUUUAAAGAGACAAGACCCGGUGUUCUCUGAACACUAAAUGUUCUAGUUUUCUAGUUUGCAUCAGGACAUAUGUACACUCCACAUAUUUCAUGGUCUCUCUGUUGAGAAAAUAGGAAGAAAGUCUUAUAUAUCUAUGAAGUGAUCCUAUUUUUUGUGCC